RNAcentral lists this long non-coding RNA (211 nucleotides) under Capsicum annuum. Its description in RNAcentral is "long non-coding RNA (CANN_LNC001427)". The record is from RNAcentral. Lineage: Eukaryota; Viridiplantae; Streptophyta; Magnoliopsida; Solanales; Solanaceae.
AAUGUUACACCCAAACCAAGUGCAUAAUACCAAAGAUAAGAUAAAUCCAAGGUCAAACAGAAGCAAAGCAAACUAAUGAACAAAGCAUACAUUAAUAUUGCAAAUCCACAAGGUACUAUACUAUAUGUAUAGACUCAUUCACUUGUACAUAAAAGAAGAAGAAGAAGGAGGGACGAAAGCAAAAUCAUGAAGGAGAAAGGGUAAUUUUAAU